CAGUAGCCGCGGGAAUACGUAGGCGGCAAGCGUUGUCCGGAAUUAUUGGGCGUAAAGCGCGCGCAGGUGGUUUAAUAAGUCUGAUGUGAAAGCCCACGGCUCAACCGUGGAGGGUCAUUGGAAACUGUUAAACUUGAGUGCAGGAGAGAAAAGUGGAAUUCCUAGUGUAGCGGUGAAAUGCGUAGAGAUUAGGAGGGACACCAGUGGCGAAGGCGGCUUUUUGGCCUGUAACUGACACUGAGGCGCGAAAGCGUGGGGAGCAAACAGGAUUAGAUACCCGAGUAGUCCCUGUCUCUUAUAC
RNAcentral lists this ribosomal RNA (301 nucleotides) under uncultured bacterium. RNAcentral's name for it is "partial 16S ribosomal RNA". It matches the Rfam family "Bacterial small subunit ribosomal RNA", at positions 509 to 807 of the family's 1533-position model. The record is from RNAcentral.